GACAGAGGGUGCAAACGUUGUUCGGAUUUACUGGGCGUAAAGCGCGUGUAGGCGGCCUUGCAAGUCGCGUGUGAAAGCCCCCGGCUCAACUGGGGAGGGUCACGCGAUACUGGUCGACUCGAAGGCAGGAGAGGGUAGUGGAAUUCCCGGUGUAGUGGUGAAAUGCGUAGAUAUCGGGAGGAACACCAGUGGCGAAGGCGACUACCUGGCCUGUUCUUGACGCUGAGGCGCGAAAGCUAGGGGAGCAAACGGG
RNAcentral lists this ribosomal RNA (253 nucleotides) under uncultured bacterium. Its description in RNAcentral is "partial 16S ribosomal RNA". It matches the Rfam family "Bacterial small subunit ribosomal RNA", at positions 524 to 776 of the family's 1533-position model. The record is from RNAcentral.